RNAcentral lists this ribosomal RNA (368 nucleotides) under bacterium gwi12. RNAcentral's name for it is "bacterial SSU rRNA". It matches the Rfam family "Bacterial small subunit ribosomal RNA", at positions 103 to 506 of the family's 1533-position model. The record is from RNAcentral.
CGGGUGCGUAACGCGUGGGAACCUGCCUUUAGGUUCGGAAUAACUCCCCGAAAGGGGUGCUAAUACCGGAUGAUGUCUUCGGACCAAAGAUUUAUCGCCUUUAGAUGGGCCCGCGUUGGAUUAGCUAGUUGGUGGGGUAAAGGCCUACCAAGGCGGCGAUCCAUAGCUGGUCUGAGAGGAUGAUCAGCCACACUGGGACUGAGACACGGCCCAGACUCCUACGGGAGGCAGCAGUGGGGAAUAUUGGACAAUGGGCGAAAGCCUGAUCCAGCAAUGCCGCGUGAGUGAUGAAGGCCUUAGGGUUGUAAAGCUCUUUUACCAGGGAUGAUAAUGACAGUACCUGGAGAAUAAGCUCCGGCUAACUCCGU